RNAcentral lists this ribosomal RNA (536 nucleotides) under Lanzia echinophila. RNAcentral describes it as "SSU rRNA". It matches the Rfam family "Eukaryotic small subunit ribosomal RNA", at positions 570 to 1110 of the family's 1831-position model. The record is from RNAcentral. Lineage: Eukaryota; Fungi; Ascomycota; Leotiomycetes; Helotiales; Rutstroemiaceae.
GCAGCCGCGGUAAUUCCAGCUCCAAUAGCGUAUAUUAAAGUUGUUGCAGUUAAAAAGCUCGUAGUUGAACCUUGGGCCUGGCUGGCCGGUCCGCCUCACCGCGUGCACUGGUCCGGCCGGGCCUUUCCUUCUGGGGAGCCUCAUGCCCUUCACUGGGUGUGUUGGGGAACCAGGACUUUUACUUUGAAAAAAUUAGAGUGUUCAAAGCAGGCCUAUGCUCGAAUACAUUAGCAUGGAAUAAUAGAAUAGGACGUGUGGUUCUAUUUUGUUGGUUUCUAGGACCGCCGUAAUGAUUAAUAGGGAUAGUCGGGGGCAUCAGUAUUCAAUUGUCAGAGGUGAAAUUCUUGGAUUUAUUGAAGACUAACUACUGCGAAAGCAUUUGCCAAGGAUGUUUUCAUUAAUCAGUGAACGAAAGUUAGGGGAUCGAAGACGAUCAGAUACCGUCGUAGUCUUAACCAUAAACUAUGCCGACUAGGGAUCGGGCGAUGUUAUCUUUUUGACUCGCUCGGCACCUCACGAGAAAUCAAAGUCUUUGG